AGACACGGUCCAGACUCCUACGGGAGGCAGCAGUGGGGAAUAUUGGACAAUGGGCGCAAGCCUGAUCCAGCAAUGCCGCGUGUGUGAAGAAGGCCUUCGGGUUGUAAAGCACUUUUAUCGGGAGCGAAAUACCAUCGGUUAAUACCCGGUGGGGCUGACGGUACCCGAGGAAUAAGCACCGGCUAACUUCGUGCCAGCAGCCGCGGUAAUACGAAGGGUGCAAGCGUUAAUCGGAAUUACUGGGCGUAAGGGUGCGUAGGCGGUUAGUUAAGUCUGUCGUGAAAUCCCCGGGCUCAACCUGGGAAUGGCGAUGGAUACUGGCUGGCUAGAGUGUGUCAGAGGAUGGUGGAAUUUCCGGUGUAGCGGUGAAAUGCGUAGAGAUCGGAAGGAACAUCAGUGGCGAAGGCGGCCAUCUGGGACAACACUGACGCUGAAGCACGAAAGCGUGGGGAGCAAACAGGAUUAGAUACCCUGGUAGUCCACGCCCUAAACGAUGCGAACUGGAUGUUGGUCUCAACUCGGAGAUCAGUGUCGAAGCUAACGCGU
Molecule: ribosomal RNA, 546 nt
Filed under: uncultured bacterium
Lineage: Bacteria
Description: bacterial SSU rRNA
Rfam family: Bacterial small subunit ribosomal RNA
Source: RNAcentral